CGCACGCGCGCCGUUUCAGCUUCCCGGCCGAAAUCCGGCCACCGAUUGGGCCGGGUCUUGUGUCAAACACCAUCUACACCUCGAGAGCUUUCCAUAGACACCAAGAACACCAAAAUCCAUCCAGCGGUUUGUCCAAUUUUUGUCCGAAAAGUUUUAGCCCAUUUCAACUUUUUGGCUAGAUUUCUCGCAAACCGUGAACUCCAUGAGAAAAUCGAGAGUACCAGAGCGCUCCACUCGUCGAGAGUUUCGCGGCAAUAUAAAUUUUAAAAUUUUCUGAAUCCGUUUUUCGGUGGGUCCCACGGAACUUCGUAGUGUUUUUUCGAGUAUUAAAUGAGCUUAGAAAAUUCCGUAAAAAUUAUAUACUAACCCCCGUGUUGUAGGCUUCGUGUAGGUACCUUCAAUUCGCGGGAAUUCGACAGUUGUCCGGGUCUGUGAAUUUCCGGCCAGACAGACCGGCUACUGAAAAAGUCUCCGAAUUGGAUCGAGAUUUUGGCUAUCCCACCGUUGUCAGAUACCUCGAGCGCGUUCCCAAGAUCGGAAUCGGCAUAGGUAAACCUGAACCUUGCUUUUUCAUAAUUUUCUAGUGCUUAAAUUGGAUUAAAAAUCCAUAAAAUAUUCGUGGUAGCUCAGAAAAUUAUGAUUCUUUUUGCGUUAGUCUAGUAAUAUUGCUAAGGACUGCGGGGAAAAGUUUUAGAAUUUUUAGAGCUUAUUUAGGUAGUUUUUGCAAAAAGGAUCAAUUAUAAGGACUAAACUGUAAAUUUACAUAUUGUGAUUGAUGACUGUUUGGAUGGACCCAGGAGAGGCUGUGUGAUGUGAUUGAAUUGUGAGUGUAUGAUUUGUGGAUAUAGAAGUAUGUUUUAAACCCAUUUGCAGGUUGGGUAGGUCUUAGGUAUAGGGGAGACUCUGCCGGAUUUUCGGCACGACUUAGGACGUCUUUGGUCUUUUUCUUAGUUUGUAUGGAGUCAAAUUUAUUAAAUGAUUGUAAUAAAAUUGUCAGGUGAGCCGGGACAGCCUUCUUCCUCCGCCUAGCCGCCACAGUGACUGCUGUCAAGUCUGCUACAGGAGGAUUUUGUUGUGGUUAACCUGCUUUUCUCCUUCGCAGGUUGUUUAUUAAUGUUUGUGUAAUUCUAUUAACUCCUAGAAUUUUCGUAUGCGUUAGAAAUAUUUAUUUGAUUUGGGUCUGUAAUAUAAAUUGUCAUGUUGGACCUGUAAACUAAUUAUAUACAUGUUUGUUGGAUUGGAUGAGGGAGCUGAGCUCCCAUUUACUUUUUAUGUUAUUAUGAGUAUGUGGAGGGUGAGCUGAGCUCCCCAAUUGAUUAUA
Long non-coding RNA from Hevea brasiliensis (rubber tree), 1321 nucleotides. RefSeq lists it as uncharacterized. Lineage: Eukaryota; Viridiplantae; Streptophyta; Magnoliopsida; Malpighiales; Euphorbiaceae. The transcript is spliced from 2 exons. The record is from RefSeq and is a predicted model, not a curated record.